AGCGAACGCUGGCGGCAGGCCUAACACAUGCAAGUCGAACGAACCUUUCGGGGUUAGUGGCGGACGGGUGAGUAACACGUCGGAACGUGCCUUUAGGUUCGGAAUAACUCAGGGACACUUGUGCUAAUACCGAAUGUGCCCUUCGGGGGAAAGAUUUAUCGCCCUUAGAGCGGCCCGCGUCUGAUUAGCUAGUUGGUUGAGGUAAUGGCUCACCAAGGCGACGAUCAGUAGCUGGUCUGAGAGGAUGAUCAGCCACAUUGGGACGGAGACACGGCCCAAACUCCUACGGGAGGCGGCAGUGGGGGAUCUUGCGAAAUGGGCGAAAGGCUGACGCAGCCAUGCCGCGUGAAUGAUGAAGGUCUUAGGGUUGUAAAAUUCUUUCACCGGGGACGAUAAUGACGGUACCCGGAGAAGAAGCCCCGGCUAACUUCGUG
RNAcentral lists this ribosomal RNA (434 nucleotides) under uncultured bacterium. RNAcentral describes it as "partial 16S ribosomal RNA". It matches the Rfam family "Bacterial small subunit ribosomal RNA", at positions 29 to 507 of the family's 1533-position model. The record is from RNAcentral.